RNAcentral lists this long non-coding RNA (422 nucleotides) under Homo sapiens (human). RNAcentral describes it as "HSALNT0138886". Lineage: Eukaryota; Metazoa; Chordata; Mammalia; Primates; Hominidae. The record is from RNAcentral.
AUUAUGGAUGUCUGUUGGAUUGUGAUGCUGUAUAAGUAUCAGCUAAUAUAAUCAUAUGAUUUCUCUUCUUGAGCCUUUGAUGCGUAGGAAUACACGGAUUGACUGUUGGCUAUUGAACUAGCCCUGCAUACUUGGAACAAAUCUCCCUUGUUCAUGGCUUUGGUAUCAGGAUGCUGAUGGCCUCAUAAAAUGAGUUACGGAGGACUCCCUCUUUUUCUAUUGAUUGGAAUAGUUUCAGAAGGAAUGGUACCAGCUCCUCCUUGUACCUCUGGUAGAAUUGGGCUGUGAAUCCGUCUGAUCCUGGACUUUUUUUGGUUGGUAAGCUAUUAAUUAUUGCCUCAAUUUCAGAGCCUGUUACUGGUCUAUUCAGAGAUUCAACUUCUUCCUGGUUUAGUCUUGGGAGGGUGGUAUGUGUCGAGCAA